RNAcentral lists this non-coding RNA (46 nucleotides) under Schistosoma mansoni. Lineage: Eukaryota; Metazoa; Platyhelminthes; Trematoda; Strigeidida; Schistosomatidae. The record is from RNAcentral.
AUCCAGCUGACGAGUCCCAAAUAAGACGAAGUGACGCGUCCUGGAU